Molecule: long non-coding RNA, 906 nt
Filed under: Marmota monax (woodchuck)
Lineage: Eukaryota; Metazoa; Chordata; Mammalia; Rodentia; Sciuridae
Source: RNAcentral
GUCUCCUUAAUGCUGACAAUGAUAUUUGUUUCUAUGUGAACAAUGGGAAAAAUAUAAGCUUUUAUUAACUUUGUUUAUUUAAUGCCAUAUUCUAUUAUAAAAAGAAGUGUGGUUAUUUAAAAAAAAAAGUGUGUGAUUGGAGAAGCCUAGAAAUGCAGAAUAGAAUUCCUUUGAAUUGGGGCUUGAUUCAGCUAUAAACUGCUCUGGAGGUUACAUUCUGGGUUCUCAAGGGCUAAGUCAUAGGCCUCAAAGCUGCUAACUUAUUUCUUGGAACCUACCUACUUAGAGAGUUUUUGUAGCCCUGAGCCUCUGUAUAAGAAGUUUGACUGCCCUGAGACCACCAUGAUGAAGAGGCAUAUACAUUGGGGCUCUGACUGAUAACCUGAUUGAGUCAUCCCUGCCAGGGCACCAACAUAGGUUGUUAUGGUCUGAGUGUUGUGUUCUCCUCAAAUUCAUAUAUUGAAACUUAAUCACCAAUGUGGUGGCUGUAGGAAAUUGUCCUUUGGAGAGCUGAUUAAAUCAUGAAGAUGGCAUCUUUCAUCAUGUGAGGACUCAGAAAGAAAUCCCCAUCUAUUAACCAGGAAAUACUGAAUCUGCUAGGAUCUUGAUCUUAGGACUUCCAGCCUCCAGAACUGUGAGAUACAAAUUUCUGUUUAUAAGCUACCUGGCCUAUGAUUUUGUUAUUAAAACAGCCUGAAUGGAUGAAGACAUUGAUGAAGCCAUCUAGACCCUUUGGACCAGGCUAUUUGUCUUCCUUCAGCUAAAUUGCUUUGAGUGACCCCAGCUGAUGCCACAUGAGACUGAAAAAAAAAAUUGCUCAACCGAGCCUGCGUGAAGUUCCAAUGUGUAAAAUUAGGAGAUAUAACAAUAAAAUGGUUGUUGUUUCAAGUUACUAAGUUUUGGUGG